Molecule: long non-coding RNA, 519 nt
Filed under: Daucus carota (carrot)
Lineage: Eukaryota; Viridiplantae; Streptophyta; Magnoliopsida; Apiales; Apiaceae
Description: long non-coding RNA (DCAR_LNC007545)
Source: RNAcentral
UCGAUUAGUGAUUAUAGUGUUAUCUUAUUCUCGUAAAGGAUUUGGACGAGACGUGUAUGCCCGAAGACGUUCAGAAAGUCACGUGGUGUUACAAAGCGAAUAAGGGAUGAAUCGAGUAAGCGAAGCAAAGAUGUACGGUAGAUAGAGUAUAGCCAGAGAUGGUCUAGAGACUAUGAGAUGCAUAGAUUGUGAAAGUGGAAAGAUGAGAUUGAGAUUGUGAAUAAGGCUAAUGCUAGGCGAGGAGACAGAAUUGAGGAUCCAGUGGUCGAGGAGUGUUCAGGAAAGUUGAUGAGGUUGGUGCAAGCUAGAGCUGUGCUAUAGGGAUUCAAGUGUAAGUCAUAGCUGGAAUAGUUGACAGUGAUUCUUCUUAUCGAAGAUGAUCUGAUUUGGUAAGAAAUGUUGUGUAAUAUUAGUGGUGGAUUCUAAUUUCAAUACUGUAACCUAGAUGCGAUCCUGUUGCUUUUAGGGGGUUGAAAUGUUCUCUUUCGAAUCAAUUAUUAAAGUUUAAAUGUUCUCUUG